UACGAAGGGUGCAAACGUUAUUCGGAAUCACUGGGCGUAAAGGGUGCGUAGACGGUAUGUUAAGUUCGUUGUUAAAGGCUCCGGCCCAACCGGAGUAUUGCGAUGGAAACUGGCACACUAGAGGGUGAGAGAGAGAAGUGGAAUUCCCGGAGUAGCGGUAAAAUGCGUGGAUCUCGGGAGGAACACCAAUGGCGAAGGCAGCUUCUUGGCUCAUACCUGACGUUGAGGCACGAAAGCGUGGGGAGCAAACAGG
Molecule: ribosomal RNA, 253 nt
Filed under: uncultured prokaryote
Description: partial 16S ribosomal RNA
Rfam family: Bacterial small subunit ribosomal RNA
Source: RNAcentral